Molecule: long non-coding RNA, 930 nt
Filed under: Marmota monax (woodchuck)
Lineage: Eukaryota; Metazoa; Chordata; Mammalia; Rodentia; Sciuridae
Source: RNAcentral
GGGACGCCCCUCCCGGGAAGGGUCGUGGGAAGGUGACUGGAGGACCGGGAGCCCGCUCCAAAAUAGAAGCCCCUUCCCGCCCGCCCCCUUCUCGUCCUCUGCUCCCAACACUGCUCAAGCAGGCUCCUGACAAAUCCUGGCCCACUGGAGUCGGGCCGCCCAGGGCGCGGAUCAGGUCCCAGCUGUGACCUUGGAAGAAUCGCUGUACUGUGCUGGGUCUCUGCUCUGCAUCCAUCAAAGGCAGACACCUCCAAGGGCUUUUGCUGCUUCCGAGAAUCUACCAAGUGCCAGACCCUUUUCCAAGCUGUUCCUUACUUGAUCCUUAAAUCUUCAGCCUCAACCCUGGUAUCUCCAUUUGAGGGAAGAGGAAACUGAGGCUGGAGUGAGAAAUCCCCAGGGUUAGAAGGGAAGUGGGGCCCCUAGCUGUCUGGUGGCCUUGCUGUCUUCUCUGAGGGACCUGCCACCUUCCUCUCACCCACAGGGGUAAAUUGGACAAUAUAUAAAUAUUGUAAAACAGCAGCCCGGCAGGGGAGGAGGGGACAGAGGGGACUGAACCCAGCACACACUGAGUCACAGCAACUCAGCCCCAAAUCCCUGCCUCAACAAGACUGGAGGUAAAUAAAUAAAGGUCCAGAAAUUGGCCAACACCACCUGUCACUGCUAAGGCCAUUUCCUUCGGGAACUUCCACCUGUAGCUUCCCUCAAAGGACAGUAACAUCCUAAUCAGACUUCCAGAGCCCAAAUCCCCCUCCCUGGAACUGGACAGGAAGUUCCUACUCCCAGUUUGCAAAGUUGCAUUUGCUGAGCUGCCCAUUCCCUGGCUUUGCACCCCUCUCCACUACACUGAGGGACUCUGACAUCUCUGCCCUCUGCCAGGUACUGAGGUGAAAUGCACAGAUGUCUGGUUUCUACACUGACCAAGGAUUUCAU